This 455-nucleotide ribosomal RNA is filed under the name uncultured Gammaproteobacteria bacterium. Its description in RNAcentral is "bacterial SSU rRNA". It matches the Rfam family "Bacterial small subunit ribosomal RNA", at positions 423 to 870 of the family's 1533-position model. Lineage: Bacteria; Pseudomonadati; Pseudomonadota; Gammaproteobacteria. The record is from RNAcentral.
UUGUAAAGCACUUUCAGUCGUGAGGAAAGUUAGUAGUUAAUAACUGCUAGCUGUGACGUUAACGACAGAAGAAGGACCGGCUAACUCCGUGCCAGCAGCCGCGGUAAUACGGAGGGUCCGAGCGUUAAUCGGAAUUACUGGGCGUAAAGCGCRCGUAGGUGGAUUGGUCAGUCAGAUGUGAAAGCCCAGGGCUCAACCUUUGAACUGCAUCUGAUACUGCUAGUCUAGAAUACAGUAGAGGGUAGUGGAAUUUCCUAGUGUAGCGGUGAAAUGCGUAGAUAUAGGAAGRACACCAGUGGCGAAGGCGACUACCUKGMYUGMUAUUGACACUGAGGUGCGAAAGCGUGGGGAGCAAACAGGAUAGAUACCACUGGUAGUCCACAGCCGUAAACGAUGUCUACUGAGCCGUUAGGAGACUUGAUCUCUUAGUGACGAACUAACGCGAUAAGUAGACC